GUCAUCCCCAAGAGAGGCUCAGAAUGCCAGAAGGACCGUGGUGAUCCUGUGCAGGCCGGCUCGCCGGGCCCAGCCUCGGGCUCCUUGCCUGUAAGAUGGAGAGGCAUAGCCGCAGCCCCUGGGUACCGCCCACCGUCCACCGGUACCCCCUGCAGCACAGGGGGCGCUGCAGCAAUGAAGGCUGGGCCCACUCACACCAAUCCUUUAACACGCAUCGGUCUUGACUUCAAGCGUGAAGCAGAGCACAGAGACAGGCAGGUUUUUCUCCUCCUGGCAUCAGAGGCUGAGGAAGCUUAAAGCAACAGUUGCAGUGGAGAAAGCUGAGAACAACGGCUCCGUUGAGCUCCCCCUGGGGGCCUUUCUCCAAGCUGCACACCUCUCAGCCUCUGCUGCCCCCAUCCUGCUCUGUCCUGCCACCUGCCCAGCCCUCUUCAGAUGGAAGCUUGGUGGAACCCGAUGUCUGGCUUUGAGUUUGGUUGCCCUGCCCCCGCUCACUGGGCUUAUGGACCCCUCCUGGUUCUUCUCAUCUCUUGUCUGGUGCCCUGGCCAGAGAUCUAGGGCCCCAUGACCAGACUCAGAGCCCCCAGAACCCACUUGGGUGGAAAGUUCCUGCAGAUGGGGUGCCUGGGUGGCUCAGUCGGUUAAGCGUCUGCCUUCAGCUCAGGUCACGAUCCCAGGGUCCUGCAAGCGAGUUCCGCAUUGGGCUCCCUGCUCAGCGGGAAGCCUGCUUCUCCCUCUCCCUCUGCCUCUCCUCCAGCUGUGCUGUCGCUCUCGCUCAUGCUCUGUCUCUCAAAUAAAU
This 799-nucleotide long non-coding RNA is filed under the name Ursus maritimus (polar bear). Its description in RNAcentral is "lncRNA (ENSUMAG00000024669.1)". The record is from RNAcentral. Lineage: Eukaryota; Metazoa; Chordata; Mammalia; Carnivora; Ursidae.